Molecule: transfer RNA, 70 nt
Filed under: Urocitellus parryii (Arctic ground squirrel)
Lineage: Eukaryota; Metazoa; Chordata; Mammalia; Rodentia; Sciuridae
Also listed under: 2 other names
Description: Spermophilus parryii (Arctic ground squirrel) tRNA
Rfam family: tRNA
About the family: Transfer RNA (tRNA) molecules are approximately 80 nucleotides in length. Their secondary structure includes four short double-helical elements and three loops (D, anti-codon, and T loops).
Source: Rfam by way of RNAcentral
GGGGAUAUAGCUCAGUUGGUAGAGUUCUUGCCUUGUGUGCAUGAAGCCCUGGGUUCACUCCCCAGCACCA